GAUGAACGCUGGCGGCGUGCCUAAUACGUGCAAGUCGAGCGAACAGAUAAGGAGCUUGCUCCUUUGACGUUAGCGGCGGACGGGUGAGUAACACGUGGAUAACCUACCUAUAAGACUGGGAUAACUUCGGGAAACCGGAUCUAAUACCGGAUAACAUAUUGAACCGCAUGGUUCAAUAGUGAAAGGCGGCUUUGCUGUCACUUAUAGAUGGAUCCGCGCCGUAUUAGCUAGUUGGUAAGGUAACGGCUUACCAAGGCAACGAUACGUAGCCGACCUGAGAGGGUGAUCGGCCACACUGGAACUGAGACACGGUCCAGACUCCUACGGGAGGCAGCAGUAGGGAAUCUUCCGCAAUGGGCGAAAGCCUGACGGAGCAACGCCGCGUGAGUGAUGAAGGUCUUCGGAUCGUAAAACUCUGUUAUCAGGGAAGAACAAAUGUGUAAGUAACUGUGCACAUCUUGACGGUACCUGAUCAGAAAGCCACGGCUAACUACGUG
This 497-nucleotide ribosomal RNA is filed under the name uncultured bacterium. RNAcentral's name for it is "partial 16S ribosomal RNA". It matches the Rfam family "Bacterial small subunit ribosomal RNA", at positions 28 to 507 of the family's 1533-position model. The record is from RNAcentral.